UGAGGGAAGAAGUUUAUUGACGGUACCUCACGAAUAAGGGGCUCCUAAUCUCGUGCCAGCAGGAGCGGUAAUACGAGAGCCCCGAGCGUUAUCCGGAAUUAUUGGGCGUAAAGGGUGCGUAGGUGGCAGUGUUAGUCGUUUGUCAAAUCUCUGGGCUUAACCCAGAAACCGCGAACGAAACGGCACAGCUAGAGAGUGUGAGGGGUGAAUGGAACUCAUGGUGUAGGGGUAAAAUCCGUUGAUAUCAUG
Molecule: ribosomal RNA, 249 nt
Filed under: uncultured Parcubacteria group bacterium
Lineage: Bacteria
Description: partial 16S ribosomal RNA
Rfam family: Bacterial small subunit ribosomal RNA
Source: RNAcentral